Molecule: long non-coding RNA, 796 nt
Organism: Cyanistes caeruleus (blue tit)
Lineage: Eukaryota; Metazoa; Chordata; Aves; Passeriformes; Paridae
Source: RefSeq, a predicted model, not a curated record
AGGGGGAUGCUCUCCUUGGAUUCCUCCAACGUGUGACCCUGUGCGGUCUGAAGGAUUCUCUCACCUACUGCCAUUACAUUUCACUGGGGGAUUGGGUGCUUCUGGCCAGCAAACCCCCUGUCUCUCUCCUCUGAGGAGAGGGGAAUACCUAUAGUACUCCUGAUGUCACUUAAGGCACAUGGUGUCUCUGAUGGUACAGGGCAUAUUCCCUGUCACCAUCACCUGCAGCACCCCCACUCUCCUGGAGUGAUUCAGUUUAUGUUCAGCAGAACAAGUUCUUCACAGCCAUGUUAAAAGUGGGCAAGUGAGAUAUCCAAAUUAAAAAAAAUAUUAGGAAUUGAAAAAAAUAAUUGUCCUUUCUGUUAGCUCAUGUAGAUAAAUUAAGGUGGUGGAAACCUGCCAAAUCAGCUUUGCCACUAGAGGAAAAUACUACAUGUAGCUACCCUUUCCAGUAGAGCUUGUUCCUGUGAAAAACAAGCCUGCACAACUGAAGAAGAUGAUCUACAGGAGUGAGAGUGCCAGUGAAAGGAAGAGCUACUGGAGGUGUGACAAACUCACCCAUAUUUCAAGGACUUGGUGAAAUAAGAGUUCUGAGACAACUGAAAGACUGUAAGAGACAGAGACUACAGAAAACAAGGUAACUUCCUGCAAAAAAAACAUCACAAUGUGACUUUUCAGAAAGAAAAUUCCCAGCUUGAAGAUGUUCCAAAGCACAUUUUCUCCCAAGAGUGCUUGGUAAAGGGAAGAAAAUACAAAAGGAAGAAUAUUGCAAAAGAGAAGAAAAUCCACCUAACUC